Non-coding RNA from Biomphalaria pfeifferi, 1728 nucleotides. Lineage: Eukaryota; Metazoa; Mollusca; Gastropoda; Planorbidae. The record is from the annotation of a GenBank genome assembly.
GUAAUGUAAUAAAGGCUUCAAGUUGAAACUUGUUGCAAAUAUUUUUAAUAAAAAUGUAAAUGUAAAGUUUUAGAAAUUACACAGUACAAUUACAAAAGCAACAUAAAUUAAUAGUGAUAAUAGUGAUGCAAUUAAGUUGUGGGGUGGAACAUGUAUACCAUAUACACUUAAAACUUAAUGAAUGUUCAUUAAAGUAUUUCACUUAGCCUACAACUUUACUCAAGAAACUCAGAAUUUUACUGUAAUAAAUACAUGUUAUCUUUUAAACAGCAUUAAAAGCAUCUAACUAGAAAACAUUGAUCAUGAGGUCACUGAACUUACCUAAAAUUUAUUUGAAAACAUUGAUUUAUGAAUAUCAUUGAUUUUAUAAAUCAGAUAUAUCAUAAUGAGAUUUAAUUGUAAGUAAGAACUUUUCUUAUAUAUUUUUUUAGUUACUUCAUCUAUGAAAGAAGAUUUCAUGCAUCAUUGCUCAAGCUUAAGAGUUCAUUGUUAGUAGGAUUUGAACCCUUGAUUUAUGUGUUAAAAAUCCAAAACAUGUAUGACUAACCAACUAUCCAUCUUUCAUUGAGAAAUCUGUAGUUUCAUAUCUUAUAUAUUACUUCUCUAACAUCCUGGCAUUCUUUUUUUGUUUAAGCUCAUUUCAGGUUGGAAUGGGUUAAAGUAACAUAUCAGAAAGAAACAAAAUUCAAAUCUUUUAACUUUUAUUUAUAUUAGUACACCAUGAUAUAAGGUUUCAAUUUUUUAAGAUGAUGAUCUGAAAUAUUUAGUUGUAAGUACUUUUGUAUCUUUGUCAACAUUAACUCCUUAUUUUCUAGAUUGACUCAAAAUCUUUUAUAUAAAAGCUUUUUUAAAGCAAUUUUUGCUUCUUCAAAUUUAUUUGUUCUUAAAAAUUACAAAACACAGUAAAAGUUUCCAUACAUUAAGAAAUUGUAGAGUUUUGAACAUAUAGUAUUCUUUAUAAAAAAUUAUACACACUCUACAUACUUGAUAAAUAUUUACUACUGCUAGGUGUGCUUGUAUUUUUUUUUUUCUACUUUUAAAUAAAGAUCGGUAUAAUUCAAAUGUUUAUUUCAUUUUGAUCUGUAACAAAUGUAUUUACUUACUUGUCAAUUGUAAUAACAACUUUGGCCUUAGAAGACUAAAAAAAAAAAAAAUUGAGUUGUUUAGCAUUGGAGGCUGGUUUUAUAUUAAAUAAUGUACACUUCAUCUUAUGUACAAUGAUAUUUACAGUUUCAGCGUCUUUUGUUAACCAUUCUUCUAUUGUUGUAGACGUUGAUGUAAAUAGUUACUUACAUUAAAGCUCAGUGAAAGGAAAUUUUGUUUUCAUUUUGAGAAUACAAUUAUUAAAUACAGAGAAGAGCUUACUAAAGUUUUGGUACUUGAAAAUUUAAGUGGUAGGCCAAGAGACGGGUUAAAGGUAAUUAAGUAAUAGGUUUGAAAGCAAAUAGGUUUCAGAUCUAAAGAAGUGGCAAAGGUAAAAAAAGUGGGUGGUCAAAAGAAGUGGUUAACCUAAAGAAGUCGUUUGUCUAAAAAAGUGGUUAAUGUAAAUAAGUGUCAAAUGUAAAAAGUGGUUGGUCUAAAGAAGUGAUAGGUCUAAAUAAAGUUGUUAAACUUAAAAAUUGUUAAGUCUAAUAGGUAACAGUAAUAUCAUUCUUUAUGAAAAGGUAAAAGUUAAAAAUAAUAAUUAAAAGCUUAAGAAACUGUUUCUAAUUUUUGCAUAAAGUCACC